Molecule: ribosomal RNA, 253 nt
Filed under: uncultured bacterium
Lineage: Bacteria
Description: partial 16S ribosomal RNA
Rfam family: Bacterial small subunit ribosomal RNA
Source: RNAcentral
UACGUAGGGGGCAAGCGUUGUCCGGAAUCACUGGGCGUAAAGCGCGCGCAGGCGGUCAUCUACGUCUGGGGUGAAAGCCCGGAGCUCAACUCCGGGAUUGCCUUGGAUACGGGAUGACUUGAGGAUCGGAGAGGCAAGGGGAAUUCCACGUGUAGCGGUGAAAUGCGUAGAGAUGUGGAGGAACACCGAUGGCGAAGGCAGCCUCCUGGGCCAACACUGACGCUCAUGCACGAAAGCGUGGGGAGCAAACAGG